AGCCGAGCCGAGCCGAGCGGCAGCAACAAGUUCAAAAGGUGUUGCUGCAUUCCCUUGUUCCGAAACGCCGGGGACUCUGAGAUUUCAACUAUCCGCUCGUUCGUGGAAAUGCCACAGGAAGUGAUUAGGUGAGGUCUAUCCACAUUAUCGAGAGUCCAUUGCUUUUUAUUGCUGACUUAAUACCGCACUUGGAUGAAGCAGUCACCUGCUGAAGGACAUCUGGAGAGAUUCCAGUUUGGGCCUUUUAUGAAUAAAGCUGCUGUGAACAUUCUCGUUACAGGAAACAAAGCUCAAGAAGGUGAAAUGAUGUUCCAAGAUUACUUCGUAUACCUGAGUGGCAAAAGCUGACUCAUUUCCAGGCCUUCUAACCCUAAGUCGCAUAUCCUUUUAGGUCUGCAAACACGCCAGUAUCUACAAUAGCAGAGUCUUUGUCAGUUUGCUGUUUUCAUGCUGGUGAUGAAUCUGCAGACAGGUGCAUACUAUGUUAUUCAGCCUCCGUGGCACAUCUCUGAGAGGUCUUUGGCCAGGGCAGGAAAAUCCGUCGGUGGUCAUGGAAAACGGGAGUACUGCAUCUGCUCAUUCCAUAUUUUAACCAAUUACGCUAACUGCCCAGAGUGAUAAGCACAUUUUAAUGUCUCACUCAAUGGCAUAUUUCACAUAAGACAGUUUUAGUAUUUCUGACUACGUUCUUAGAACCUCUUCCAAGACAAGCCUUUCUGAGAGUCUGUAUUAGCUUAUUUUAUUUUAUUUUUACCUAUUUUUUACUUAGGUAUAAUUGACACAUGACACUGUAUUUGUUUAGGUGUACAGAAUAAUGAUUUGACGUAUGUAUAUAUUGCUAAAGGAAUAAAUUUAGUUAAAACCCAUCCCCACACAUAAUUACACAUUUUUUCUUGUGAUGAGAAUUUUGAGAUCUACUUUCUUAAUAGCACUGUAUUAUAUAUUUGGAAGUUGCUGACUGUAGACAGCAUACUUUGUAUUCCAUCCCCAUAAUUUGUAUACCUCAUAACUGGAAGUUUAUAUCUUUUGAACAUUUUCAUCUAUUUCCUAAUAACCCUGUAUGAGGUUUCUUAAAAUACAGUAUCAUCUUUAUUAAAGAAACAAAAUCCUACAUUAAGAAAGAAUUCAAUCGACUUGUAAAAUGAACAAAAUUUUUGGCAAGAAACUAAAAUCUUAUGCAUUAAAUCUUGAUUAAGUUCUAGCAAUUAAAAAGAAAUUUGUUUUGUUAAAUAUCAGGAAAGAAAAUAAACAUCUUUACCCUAAAAUAUCUGAUCACAAAUUGUAAACAGAGAAACAUAGAGAAAUAGAAAUAAAAAUAAAUUUUAUUCACAUUCUAGAUUCCAUAUUAUUCCGAGUUAGGCCAAUAAAUGUACUUUAUCCAAAGGUAAUUUUGGUUUGGUUUGAAUCCUUUGGUCAUCAGAAGUACACAAAAAGUACACACAAAAAAAGCUGUCUUCUAGGAAAAUAAAAAUAAAAUCUGACAUACCAGUAAGGUAGGGGGGACAUGAGAAAGUCACAGAAUGGGUAAGGGCUAGUUAAAUGCUUAAAACAUACUUGAGAUUUCAAAUACCUCACAGUAUCCCUGGAAUAUGGUCAUCAGGGAAAGGGCGGUGACCCUGUGUCUUUUUUUGGACCACUAUUAAAAAGAUAGGUUGGCAACCUACGUUUAACUUCUUUUUUAACUUCCUUUUCCCCUUUAUUAAUACUGCAAAGUGCUCUUCAAAGUCCUCUUCAAAGGAUCUUCCUCUCUUUAAGUUUUGGACCUUGAACAUCUCCUAUUAAAAAUAACCCAUUUUCAGGAACUUUAUGCCUCAUAUACAGAACAUCUUAAACAUAUUUUAUAUUUUAUAUGAAAUGGACUUGACUUUCCAAGUUCCCACACAGAGAUACAAAAAUCUAGCCAUCAGGUUACAGCUUCCGUUCUGCCUCAUGGGAUGGCGAUUGUUAUGAAGAAGCGUAGGGGUUGUUUUUAAUAUAAAGAACAUAUUUUUGUUGUUAAAAUAUUCAUGAAAUGACAGACGGUGGUGCACAUGGCGUUCCCAUGAUCUAAAAAGGCAGGGGACGGAUUAGAGGGAAAACCCCAGUGUUAAUCACUUACCAGGUGCAAAGCACCGCAUUGCAGGUGCGCGUGGCCCAGCAUGACCUGCCCUCGGGGAGCUUGACCCUGAGGUGCAAAGGGGAGCACGGAAACCUCUCUUAACCCAAAAGUAACCCUACUUGUGAGUCUCAUUUCAGACUAUUUUCCCCAAAUGCUUUACCCUGAGAAACUGUUUGUGUGUUAGGGAUGGGAAAGGAGGGAAGGUUUGCUUCUGGGUCUCAUUUUCAUACUUAGGACUUUGGGAUUAAUUGCUACGGAAUAAUUCCAGCGCCGUAAAAACAGGAGAAUUGUGACUACAACCUGGAAGAAGCAGCGAGUGUUCCCAAGAAAUAAAAGCGUUCUUUCUCUAAAACUGCGGAAAAGUAAAUUUUUGCAGAUGUUCCUAACGUGGGCAAAGAAGAUAAAUUACUCCGGAUAGUUUACGGUCAUUGAAAAUCUUGAGGAAGUCUAUAAAGUUCUCACCGAUUAAGAAGCCACGUUCUGUGAGAAAAUUGGCAAUUAAUUUGCUUGUUUACUCUCUUUAAAACUGUUUGAUAUGCUCUGGCAAAGCCACUUUGAUACACAAGUAUAUUUGCUUCAUUAGUUCUACGCACGAUCAUGUAGUUGGCUUUAAUAAAUCACUCAAAAUAGUGGCAUGCAAGGCAAAGCAGAACAAUGUAAUACUUUAAGAUGUUUGGCUAAUAGAGGAUCCCUGCACUCCCCCACUUUUUUAGGCGUUGGUAUUAUGUAAAUCUUGCUUGUUUACAAUUUAACCUGUGCUGGAUUUUAAUUUAAAUAAAGAAAAUUAUUUAAUGGAGGGUUAUUAAACAGGUUUCACAUUGCAGGUGUUCCAGUCCCCCAGGUGGAUACUCACUGAGGGAGCUUAUUAAA
Molecule: long non-coding RNA, 2968 nt
Filed under: Canis lupus familiaris (dog)
Lineage: Eukaryota; Metazoa; Chordata; Mammalia; Carnivora; Canidae
Description: lncRNA (ENSCAFG00845010408.1)
Source: RNAcentral